UUUGCCUAUAAAACUUCUUCCUCUGCUACCUCCUUCAAUCCGAUCCCCCUUUUCCUAUAAAAAACAUAACUUAAAAUUCAAAUGUAAUAGGCUACAUGUUACAACGUCUAGGCUCUAUUGAGGAGAAGUCACUAGACGUCAUGUGUGGAUGUAUAUAUUGAAGAAACACAUUAGUCUCUCCUCCACUCGCAGAGUGGGUGUAUAGAGGUGCAUCGAGAUAACAUCAAGAGUAAGGAUGUCGAGCGCACCGAAAAGGGACGUCGAGUGCACCGUACAGAUACCACAAACGUGGUUAGAGGUGCUAACAAACUCGCUCAGCAAGUGUCUAUCAUAGUAUCUAGAGCAUACCUUAGAUGCCGCCUCACCAACUCUACAGUAGCUAGGAAAAAGAAGGCAGAAUGUCAGGAGGGGUCCCCAUACCGUCAAUUGGUUGUCCAUCUUGCUCCACCACUCUUUCCUUCCAUAUGUAAGGAAAAGAACAACCUUAAUUGAGGCAUCAAUACCUUAAAGAUGAAGAUGUAGGUGGCACCUGCAUCGGCAUCAACAUGCUCCAAAAAUCAUCUUUACCUCGAGUUCAUAGGUGCUCGAUUUUUUCCCCUUUCCAACAUGGGAAUAACCUCAACUAUACCUAGGUGAAUACUUCAAUUAUCAAAUAUUAGUGAAAUAUCAAUAAGCAUAGGUAAGUAAGUAUCGAUAAAACGUCAACAAAAUAUAUGAGUCAGUAUCGGUAAAAUAUUGCAAAUAUUACCAACUUUUCACCAAUAUAUCCCUUUUCCAAUUUUCUGUAGAAACGACUCUCUCCACUUCAGUAUCGAUAUAUUACAACUUUAUCGAUAUACUGACAAUAUAUCAGUCCAUAUUUUCAUUCCUUGAA
Long non-coding RNA from Momordica charantia (bitter melon), 874 nucleotides. RefSeq lists it as uncharacterized. The record is from RefSeq and is a predicted model, not a curated record. NCBI's taxonomy places the organism in Eukaryota, Viridiplantae, Streptophyta, Magnoliopsida, Cucurbitales, Cucurbitaceae.